RNAcentral lists this transfer RNA (75 nucleotides) under uncultured Actinomycetes bacterium. RNAcentral's name for it is "uncultured actinobacterium tRNA-Gly". It matches the Rfam family "tRNA". Rfam says of the family: Transfer RNA (tRNA) molecules are approximately 80 nucleotides in length. Their secondary structure includes four short double-helical elements and three loops (D, anti-codon, and T loops). The record is from RNAcentral. Lineage: Bacteria; Bacillati; Actinomycetota; Actinomycetes. RNAcentral also lists the same sequence under 1 other name.
GGGGGCGUGUUGUAAUUGGCAGCCUGUUGGUUUACCAAAUCGUCGGAGCGGGUUCAAAUCCCGUCGCCUCCACCA